Molecule: ribosomal RNA, 459 nt
Filed under: uncultured bacterium
Lineage: Bacteria
Description: partial 16S ribosomal RNA
Rfam family: Bacterial small subunit ribosomal RNA
Source: RNAcentral
CUACGGGCGGCAGCAGUGAGGAAUAUUGGACAAUGGAUGGCAAUCUGAUCCAGCCAUGCCGCGUGAAGGAAGAAUGUCCUAUGGAUUGUAAACUUCUUUUGUAUGGGAGCAAUAAGUUGUACGCGUACAAUGAUGAGAGUACCAUACGAAUAAGCAUCGGCUAACUCCGUGCCAGCAGCCGCGGUAAUACGGAGGAUGCGAGCGUUAUCCGGAUUUAUUGGGUUUAAAGGGUGCGUAGGCGGUUACUGUAAGUCAGCGGUGAAAUUUAGGGGCUUAACCCCUACCGUGCCGUUGAUACUGCAGAGCUGGAAUAGGGAUGCUGUUGGCGGAAUGUGUAGUGUAGCGGUGAAAUGCAUAGAUAUUACACAGAACACCGAUUGCGAAGGCAGCUGACAAAUCCCUUAUUGACGCUGAUGCACGAAAGUGUGGGGAUCGAACAGGAUUAAUACCCUAGUAGUC